UGUGAACUCGAAGAGUAGGGCGGGACACGUGGUAUCCUGUCUGAAUAUGGGGGGACCAUCCUCCAAGGCUAAAUACUCCUGACUGACCGAUAGUGAACCAGUACCGUGAGGGAAAGGCGAAAAGAACCCCGGCGAGGGGAGUGAAAAAGAACCUGAAACCGUGUACGUACAAGCAGUGGGAGCACCUUCGUGGUGUGACUGCGUACCUUUUGUAUAAUGGGUCAGCGACUUAUAUUCUGUAGCAAGGUUAACCGUAUAGGGGAGCCGAAGGGAAACCGAGUCUUAACUGGGCGUUAAGUUGCAGGGUAUAGACCCGAAACCCGGUGAUCUAGCCAUGGGCAGGUUGAAGGUUGGGUAACACUAACUGGAGGACCGAACCGACUAAUGUUGAAAAAUUAGCGGAUGACUUGUGGCUGGGGGUGAAAGGCCAAUCAAACCGGGAGAUAGCUGGUUCUCCCCGAAAGCUAUUUAGGUAGCGCCUCGUGAACUCAUCUUCGGGGGUAGAGCACUGUUUCGGCUAGGGGGCCAUCCCGGCUUACCAACCCGAUGCAAACUACGAAUACCGAAGAAUGUUAUCACGGGAGACACACGGCGGGUGCUAACGUCCGUCGUGAAGAGGGAAACAACCCAGACCGCCAGCUAAGGUCCCAAAGUCAUGGUUAAGUGGGAAACGAUGUGGGAAGGCCCAGACAGCCAGGAUGUUGGCUUAGAAGCAGCCAUCAUUUAAAGAAAGCGUAAUAGCUCACUGGUCGAGUCGGCCUGCGCGGAAGAUGUAACGGGGCUAAACCAUGCACCGAAGCUGCGGCAGCGACACUAUGUGUUGUUGGGUAGGGGAGCGUUCUGUAAGCCGUUGAAGGUGGCCUGUGAGGGUUGCUGGAGGUAUCAGAAGUGCGAAUGCUGACAUAAGUAACGAUAAAGCGGGUGAAAAGCCCGCUCGCCGGAAGACCAAGGGUUCCUGUCCAACGUUAAUCGGGGCAGGGUGAGUCGACCCCUAAGGCGAGGCCGAAAGGCGUAGUCGAUGGGAAACAGGUUAAUAUUCCUGUACUUGGUGUUACUGCGAAGGGGGGACGGAGAAGGCUAUGUUAGCCGGGCGACGGUUGUCCCGGUUUAAGCAUGUAGGCGGAGGUUCCAGGUAAAUCCGGUACCUUUUUAACGCUGAGGUGUGAUGACGAGGCACUACGGUGCUGAAGUGACAAAUGCCCUGCUUCCAGGAAAAGCCUCUAAGCAUCAGGUAACAUCAAAUCGUACCCCAAACCGACACAGGUGGUCAGGUAGAGAAUACCAAGGCGCUUGAGAGAACUCGGGUGAAGGAACUAGGCAAAAUGGUGCCGUAACUUCGGGAGAAGGCACGCUGAUAUGUAGGUGAAGCCCCUGCGGGUGGAGCUGAAAUCAGUCGAAGAUACCAGCUGGCUGCAACUGUUUAUUAAAAACACAGCACUGUGCAAACACGAAAGUGGACGUAUACGGUGUGACGCCUGCCCGGUGCCGGAAGGUUAAUUGAUGGGGUUAGCGGUAACGCGAAGCUCUUGAUCGAAGCCCCGGUAAACGGCGGCCGUAACUAUAACGGUCCUAAGGUAGCGAAAUUCCUUGUCGGGUAAGUUCCGACCUGCACGAAUGGCGUAAUGAUGGCCAGGCUGUCUCCACCCGAGACUCAGUGAAAUUGAACUCGCUGUGAAGAUGCAGUGUACCCGCGGCAAGACGGAAAGACCCCGUGAACCUUUACUAUAGCUUGACACUGAACACUGGUCCUUGAUGUGUAGGAUAGGUGGGAGGCUUUGAAGCGUGGACGCCAGUCUGCGUGGAGCCAACCUUGAAAUACCACCCUUUAAUGGCUGGUGUUCUAACGUAGACCCGUGAUCCGGGUUGCGGACAGUGUCUGGUGGGUAGUUUGACUGGGGCGGUCUCCUCCCAAAGAGUAACGGAGGAGCACGAAGGUUAGCUAAUCCUGGUCGG
This 1953-nucleotide ribosomal RNA is filed under the name Enterobacter cloacae subsp. dissolvens. RNAcentral's name for it is "partial 23S ribosomal RNA". It matches the Rfam family "Bacterial large subunit ribosomal RNA", at positions 398 to 2334 of the family's 2925-position model. The record is from RNAcentral. Lineage: Bacteria; Pseudomonadati; Pseudomonadota; Gammaproteobacteria; Enterobacterales; Enterobacteriaceae.